This 497-nucleotide ribosomal RNA is filed under the name uncultured bacterium. RNAcentral describes it as "partial 16S ribosomal RNA". It matches the Rfam family "Bacterial small subunit ribosomal RNA", at positions 28 to 507 of the family's 1533-position model. The record is from RNAcentral.
GAUGAACGCUGGCGGCGUGCCUAAUACAUGCAAGUCGAGCGAACAGAUAAGGAGCUUGCUCCUUUGACGUUAGCGGCGGACGGGUGAGUAACACGUGGGUAACCUACCUAUAAGACUGGGAUAACUUCGGGAAACCGGAGCUAAUACCGGAUAACAUUUGGAACCGCAUGGUUCUAAAGUGAAAGAUGGUUUUGCUAUCACUUAUAGAUGGACCCGCGCCGUAUUAGCUAGUUGGUAAGGUAACGGCUUACCAAGGCAACGAUACGUAGCCGACCUGAGAGGGUGAUGGGCCACACUGGAACUGAGACACGGUCCAGACUCCUACGGGAGGCAGCAGUAGGGAAUCUUCCGCAAUGGGCGAAAGCCUGACGGAGCAACGCCGCGUGAGUGAUGAAGGGUUUCGGCUCGUAAAACUCUGUUAUUAGGGAAGAACAAAUGUGUAAGUAACUGUGCACGUCUUGACGGUACCUAAUCAGAAAGCCACGGCUAACUACGUG